Molecule: long non-coding RNA, 127 nt
Organism: Aethalodelphis obliquidens (Pacific white-sided dolphin)
Lineage: Eukaryota; Metazoa; Chordata; Mammalia; Artiodactyla; Delphinidae
Exons: 3
Source: RefSeq, a predicted model, not a curated record
CUAUUACACUAUUUUUCAUCCCCAGAUCACUUUUUGGUUGAGUCUUAUCAACCAAAGAAGGAAAUCAGCUGAUUAAUUCCAUGAAAUUGACAGCAAAGGAAGUUGGGUGUCACCCAAUGGAAAGUAC